Molecule: ribosomal RNA, 497 nt
Filed under: uncultured bacterium
Lineage: Bacteria
Description: partial 16S ribosomal RNA
Rfam family: Bacterial small subunit ribosomal RNA
Source: RNAcentral
GAUGAACGCUGGCGGCGUGCCUAAUACAUGCAAGUCGAGCGAACAGACCAGGAGCUUGCUCCUCUGACGUUAGCGGCGGACGGGUGAGUAACACGUGGUUAACCUACCUAUAAGACUGGGAUAACUUCGGGAAACCGGAGCUAAUACCGGAUAAUAUAUUGAACCGCAUGGUUCAAUAGUGAAAGACGGUUUUGCUGUCACUUAUAGAUGGAUCCGCGCCGCAUUAGCUAGUUGGUAAGGUAACGGCUUACCAAGGCGACGAUGCGUAGCCGACCUGAGAGGGUGAUUGGCCACACUGGAACUGAGACACGGUCCAGACUCCUACGGGAGGCAGCAGUAGGGAAUCUUCCGCAAUGGGCGAAAGCCUGACGGAGCAACGCCGCGUGAGUGAUGAAGGUCUUCGGAUCGUAAAACUCUGUUAUUAGGGAAGAACAAAUGUGUAAGUAACUAUGCACGUCUUGACGGUACCUAAUCAGAAAGCCACGGCUAACUACGUG